RNAcentral lists this ribosomal RNA (449 nucleotides) under uncultured bacterium. RNAcentral's name for it is "bacterial SSU rRNA". It matches the Rfam family "Bacterial small subunit ribosomal RNA", at positions 340 to 786 of the family's 1533-position model. The record is from RNAcentral.
UACGGAAGGCAGCAGUGGGGAAUAUUGCACAAUGGGCGAAAGCCUGAUGCAGCUAUGCCGCGUGUAUGAAGAAGGCCUUAGGGUUGUAAAGUACUUUCAUCGGGGAGGAAAAACAAAACUAAUAAUUUUAUUUCUUGACGUUACCCGAAAAAGAAGCACCGGCUAACUCCGUGCCAGCAGCCGCGGUAAUACGGAGGGUGCUAGCGUUAAUCAGAAUUACUGGGCGUAAAGGGCACGCAGGCGGUUAAUUAAGUUGGAUGUGAAAUCCCCGGGCUUAACCUGGGAAUGGCAUUCAAGACUGGUUAGCUAGAGUCUUGUAGAGGGGGUAGAAUUCCAUGUGUAGCGGUGAAAUGCGUAGAGAUGUGGAGGAUACCGGUGGCGAAGGCGGCCCCUGGACAAGACUGACGCUCAUGUGCGAAAGCGUGGGGAGCAAACAGGGAUUAGAUACC